AGCUCACUCAAGAACCCAGCCCCCAUAGUGUGAGGAGGCCUAGGACAGUUACAGAAGCCAUGUGUAGGUGUUCUGGCUCCAGCAAAAGUCUUAUCUGACAACAUCAACUACAUGUUAGUGGGUAUAACCUCAUCCUGGAGCAGGGCACCCUAUCGUCAGAUGGUAUCAUCUUUAAGGGGUUGUCUCAGCCAUGCCUUUAGAAUUACCUUUCAUUGCUUGUCAUGCUGGAAGCUUCUGAAUGUUGCAUUUUGUGAUAGAAACAGUGGGUACCAUGGUCAUGUGCUCACAUCUCCUUUGCGGUAAAGAAAAGGAUCACUCAUUAACAUCCACCAGAUAACAUUCUCCAUGAAAGCACCAAAUAAACUAACCAGAAUUGGCUACAGUUUCUUCAAGAAAAUACCCCAAUGGAAGAAAAAAAGGUGGAGGGAGAAACUGAAUGAAGAAAGGAUGAUUUGAAAUUACCAGAAAGUGGAACGUGGAAAAAACAGAGUAAAACUAGUUUGAGAAUAAAAUCUUAGGUUGUAACAUCUUCUGGGAAUUUAUUCUUUAAAUAUUGCUUUUAACUGGAUUCUUUGGUAAAUAGUAAAUGCAUUUUGGUUUU
This 601-nucleotide long non-coding RNA is filed under the name Homo sapiens (human). RNAcentral describes it as "HSALNT0376532". Lineage: Eukaryota; Metazoa; Chordata; Mammalia; Primates; Hominidae. The record is from RNAcentral.